UACGAAGGGUGCAAACGUUGCUCGGAAUCACUGGGCAUAAAGGGCUCGUAGGCGGCCAACUAAGUCAGACGUGAAAUCCCUCGGCUUAACCGGGGGACUGCGUCUGAUACUGGAUGGCUUGAAUCCGGGAGAGGGAUGCGGAAUUCCAGGUGUAGCGGUGAAAUGCGUAGAUAUCUGGAGGAACACCGGUGGCGAAGGCGGCAUCCUGGACCGGCAUUGACGCUGAGGAGCGAAAGCCAGGGGAGCAAACGGG
Molecule: ribosomal RNA, 253 nt
Filed under: uncultured bacterium
Lineage: Bacteria
Description: partial 16S ribosomal RNA
Rfam family: Bacterial small subunit ribosomal RNA
Source: RNAcentral